AAUGUUUUGAGUUCAAGAAUACAACCAUGUCAGGUUUUCUUUCUUUCUUUUUGGUUUUUGGACGACAUUGAAAUUUGGUAUUGUUAACAAGGGGGCAAGCCAAGAAUUCUUUAGCAUGUUAAAGGAUUGCUUAGCAUAAGUUACUCCUGUCUGAGCAAUGGGUUGCUUUCAAAAAAGUUUGCAGGUCGAAGCUCAAAUCCAC
This 202-nucleotide long non-coding RNA is filed under the name Populus tremula. RNAcentral's name for it is "long non-coding RNA (PTRE_LNC000084)". The record is from RNAcentral. Lineage: Eukaryota; Viridiplantae; Streptophyta; Magnoliopsida; Malpighiales; Salicaceae.